Molecule: long non-coding RNA, 1151 nt
Organism: Lepus europaeus (European hare)
Lineage: Eukaryota; Metazoa; Chordata; Mammalia; Lagomorpha; Leporidae
Exons: 3
Source: RefSeq, a predicted model, not a curated record
UUUCUACCAUACUUAUAGAGAUUAAAUGAAGUGGUUCACUCUCUAAAUCCCACAGCAGUCUGGGCUGGGCUAUGCUGAAGCCAGGAUCCAGGAAUUCUAUUCUGUUUUCCCACAUGGGUGAUAGGGACCUGAGUACAUGGGCCAUCAUCUGCUGCCUCCCAGGCACAUUAGCAGGAAGCUGGAUGAGAAACAGAGGCAAGACUCUAUCCUGGGCGCUUUCCGUUAUGGGAUGCAGGCAUCCCAAGCAGCAGCUUAAUUCACUAUGGAAUAACACCAUCCUUUUGAUUUAUUUAUUUUAGGAUGUAUGACUCAUUUUGAGUUAAUUUUCAAAUAGGGUUGGAAGAUGUCCAACUUUAUUCUUUGGCAUGUAGAUAUCCAGUUGUCCUAGCACUUUUUGUUGAAAAGACAAUUCUCCAUUGAACUUUCUCGGCACCACAAACCUCAUAAAAUACUAAUGAAAACAGACCUCAAAACUGUCAAAGUUCAAUGGGCAUGGAGCAGGAUAAGAAAACAUUCAAAGUUGCAGGUGUGGACUAUUAUUAUUAUUGGACUAGACUUGUCAGAAGAGUGAAGAAUAAUGGAGUACUACUCCUAGAUAGCAGGUAACAGACCCUGAUGAAAAAAUGUCCUUGUCCUUCCAGUCCCAGCCUGGACUUCAGCCUGGAUAUGGACUAGUGCCUGGUCUCUUAAUGCAAAAUUUCGCCCUACGGGAAGGGGAACCACGUCAGUAAACUGGUCUAGCCAACUAGAUGAGAGGCCAUAAGGAAGAUAUCUGAGGUACCCUGCCUAACAGCCAGUACCAGCUGCCAGACAUGUGAAUGAAGCAUCUUGGACCUUCCAGCCUAGCAAAAAUGCCCCAGCUAAAUACAGCCACAGGCAGAGGAAAUUGACACCAAAUGUCCAUAAUGGCCAGGACCAGGCCAGCUGAAGCUCAGAACCAAUAAUAAAACCCAAGUGUCUCACUCUGAUGAGGGUGCCAGAAUGAAAUCACUUAGGCUAUCUCCACUGCUUCUCAGGGUAACAGCAAGAAGCUACAGUCAGGAAUCAAAUCCAGGCACUUCAAUAAAUGGGCUCAGACAUCUUGACUGGCAUUGUUUGACCAACACAUGCCUUAUAUUCAUUUUUUUUUUAAAAAUUCAUUUUAUUUUUAC